GACAGAGGGUGCAAACGUUGUUCGGAAUUACUGGGCGUAAAGCGUGUGUAGGCGGUCCGCUAAGUCGGGUGUGAAAGCCCUGGGCUCAACCCAGGAAGUGCACUCGAAACUGGCGGGCUAGAGUAUCGGAGAGGUUGGUGGAAUUCUCGGUGUAGAGGUGAAAUUCGUAGAUAUUCGGAAGAACACCAGUGGCGAAGGCGACUUACUGGACACAUAUUGACGCUGAGGUGCGAAAGCGUGGGGAGCAAACAGG
RNAcentral lists this ribosomal RNA (253 nucleotides) under uncultured bacterium. RNAcentral describes it as "partial 16S ribosomal RNA". It matches the Rfam family "Bacterial small subunit ribosomal RNA", at positions 524 to 776 of the family's 1533-position model. The record is from RNAcentral.